CAAUAGCGUAUAUUAAAGUUGUUGCAGUUAAAAAGCUCGUAGUUGGAUUUCUGGUGGGAGCGAUCGGUCUGGCGCUUAGCGCGAGUACUUGCAUCGUCUCCGGCCAUCCUUGGGGAGAGUCUGUCUGGCAUUAAGUUGUCGGGCAGAGGAUCCUCAUCGUUUACUGUGAAAAAAUUAGAGUGUUCAAAGCAGGCUUAUGCCGUUGAAUAUAUUAGCAUGGAAUAAUAAGAUAGGACUUUGGUACUAUUUUGUUGGUUUGCGCACCAAAGUAAUGAUUAAUAGGGACAAUUGGGGGUAUUCGUAUUCCGUUGUCAGAGGUGAAAUUCUUGGAUUUACGGAAGACGAACUACUGCGAAAGCAUUUACCAAGGAUGUUUUCAUUAA
Molecule: ribosomal RNA, 383 nt
Filed under: uncultured eukaryote
Lineage: Eukaryota
Description: partial 18S ribosomal RNA
Rfam family: Eukaryotic small subunit ribosomal RNA
Source: RNAcentral